UUUAACUGCAGCCACAUGAGUUUCCAUACACAACUUUAAUUGUCCGUCUUAUUUGAAUUUUUUUUUACAAUUAGUAUUUUUAUUGUUAUGAGAUAAUAAAAUAUGAAUAGUACUUUAUGCUUGACUUAUUUUUUAAUUUUUUUUAAAAAAAAAUUUUCAAAUUAGACGGACGAUCAAAGUUGGAACACGGAAAAUCAUGGUUACACUUAAA
Oryza glaberrima (African rice) is the source of this 211-nucleotide non-coding RNA. NCBI's taxonomy places the organism in Eukaryota, Viridiplantae, Streptophyta, Magnoliopsida, Poales, Poaceae. The record is from Rfam.